UACGUAGGGACCAAGCGUUGUUCGGAUUUACUGGGCGUAAAGGGCGCGUAGGCGGCAAUUCAAGUCAUCUGUGAAAUCUCCGGGCUUAACCCGGAACGGUCAGGUGAUACUGUUUUGCUAGAGUGCGGAAGGGGCAAUCGGAAUUCUCGGUGUAGCGGUGAAAUGCGUAGAUAUCGGGAGGAACACCUGUGGCGAAAGCGGCGCACUGGACCAUAACUGACGCUGAUGCGCGAAAGCUAGGGGAGCAAACAGG
RNAcentral lists this ribosomal RNA (253 nucleotides) under uncultured bacterium. RNAcentral's name for it is "partial 16S ribosomal RNA". It matches the Rfam family "Bacterial small subunit ribosomal RNA", at positions 524 to 776 of the family's 1533-position model. The record is from RNAcentral.